This is a long non-coding RNA of Triticum aestivum (bread wheat), 151 nucleotides long. RefSeq lists it as uncharacterized. The record is from RefSeq and is a predicted model, not a curated record. NCBI's taxonomy places the organism in Eukaryota, Viridiplantae, Streptophyta, Magnoliopsida, Poales, Poaceae. The transcript has 2 exons.
UGUCGGUUUUAUAAUGAAAAGUAGAGGGCCUUGUGACUUCGCCAACGACUUCUCCAUUAGGUAGGUUUUUGUUAGCCCAAGCCUUUAUUUGUUGAGGGGAAACGAGUCCAAUUUGAAGUUGUUGAUGUUUAUAUUGGUCAAUCAUAAAAUA